AUUGAACGCUGGCGGCAUGCCUUACACAUGCAAGUCGAACGGCAGCGCGGACUUCGGUCUGGCGGCGAGUGGCGAACGGGUGAGUAACAUAUCGGAACGUGCCCUGGAGUGGGGGAUAACUAGUCGAAAGACUAGCUAAUACCGCAUACGAUCUAUGGAUGAAAGUGGGGGAUCGCAAGACCUCAUGCUCGUGGAGCGGCCGAUAUCUGAUUAGCUAGUUGGUGGGGUAAAGGCCUACCAAGGCAUCGAUCAGUAGCUGGUCUGAGAGGACGACCAGCCACACUGGGACUGAGACACGGCCCAGACUCCUACAGGAGGCAGCAGUGGGGAAUUUUGGACAAUGGGGGCAACCCUGAUCCAGCAAUGCCGCGUGAGUGAAGAAGGCCUUCGGGUUGUAAAGCUCUUUUGUCAGGGAAGAAACGGUCCGGGCUAAUAUCCUGGGCUAAUGACGGUACCUGAAGAAUAAGCACCGGCUAACUACGUGCCAGCAGCCGCCGUAA
Molecule: ribosomal RNA, 500 nt
Filed under: uncultured bacterium
Lineage: Bacteria
Description: partial 16S ribosomal RNA
Rfam family: Bacterial small subunit ribosomal RNA
Source: RNAcentral